GGUGACCGUAGGGAGCACCUGAGGUCUGUGAUAUGGACGGCUGUUGCUGUCCGUAAACUGCUGCUCCUCAUCACUAUUUUGACCCAGACAUUUGGCAUCAGCUCAGAGCAUAGGGGGUUGGGCAAAAAGCAUGGAGCCAAACCCAGGUCUCACACACCGCCAAGCCCUGGGUGAACUUUGAUGCAUGGCCGACUCAGAUCCAGGACUUUCAGGAGGACAAAGGCUGCAUAUAGCAGGCCCUGGAGUUUACUCUGUCUCAUACUCCACUUCGGCCUGGGCCGGCUUGCUGUGGCCUGCCUGGCACCUGUUCCCAACAUGGGUGGCUCAACUGACUUGGAACGUGGAGUCCUUGCUACCCUGUGGGACCCUUGUCUGCUGCUACCCUCACUCAACCAUUCAGGGCACCACCUUGACGAACGCCUUCAACAGGCUGAAGUCGCCGUCACCCGGCAGGCACGCAGCCAGAGGUAGAGCCAUCCUGUCAUUCCCCAGUGGGCGUGGGCACGCAAGAAGCCAGACCGCUCCAUCACCUGUGAAUCUAUCUGCCUGGAAGGCAGGUGCCUUUGUAGGCAUGCACACACCCAGCUGACCUGGUCGGAGCCGAGGUCCCCCUGGGCUGGGGCCCGACCCGUAAGCCGCAGGGCCCCAUCCUUAACAGCAGGGUCCUUGGCCAUGCUGCCCGCUGCACCAAGGCAUGGCAGUGCCAGGCUUGAGAGGGGAGCUGCUGACAAGCGAGCCCCUUUGCCCAUGCCAGGUCACCCAGCAGUCCGGGGAAGCUUGGUUGGCCCCAAGGGUGGGGGGGGGGUGCUGCAGACGGAACCCCAACCCCCAGCCACGCCGCCUCGGGGCUGGGCUCAGGGCCCAGCAUCCCCCCCCCCCAAA
Long non-coding RNA from Jaculus jaculus (lesser Egyptian jerboa), 882 nucleotides. RefSeq lists it as uncharacterized. Lineage: Eukaryota; Metazoa; Chordata; Mammalia; Rodentia; Dipodidae. The record is from RefSeq and is a predicted model, not a curated record. The transcript is spliced from 4 exons.